AGCAGCCGCGGUAAUUCCAGCUCCAAUAGCGUAUAUUAAAGUUGUUGCAGUUAAAAAGCUCGUAGUUGAAUUUCGGGGUCAAUACGUCGGUCGUGCCUUCGGUACGUACUGGUGUUAUUGAUCUCUCCCUUCUGAUGAAUCAUGAUGUCAUUAAUUUGGUGUCGUGGGGAGUCAGGACUGUUACUUUGAAAAAAUUAGAGUGUUUAAAGCAGGCUCACGCUUGAAUACAUUAGCAUGGAAUAAUGAAAUAGGACGUUCGAUUCUAUUUUGUUGGUUUCUAGGAUCAACGUAAUGAUUAAUAGGGAUAGUUGGGGGCAUUAGUAUUCAAUUGUCAGAGGUGAAAUUCUUGGAUUUAUUGAAGACUAGCUACUGCGAAAGCAUUUGCCAAGGAUGUUUUCAUUAAUCAAGAACGAAAGUUAGGGGAUCGAAGACGAUCAGAUACCGUCGUAG
This 450-nucleotide ribosomal RNA is filed under the name uncultured Glomeromycotina. RNAcentral describes it as "SSU rRNA". It matches the Rfam family "Eukaryotic small subunit ribosomal RNA", at positions 569 to 1023 of the family's 1831-position model. Lineage: Eukaryota; Fungi; Glomeromycota. The record is from RNAcentral.